AAGAGAACUACAAGCUGCAAUCUGUACGCUUUCAAUUCAAUUUCUUUUAUAGAUUCAAUCAAAAUGCAUACAAUUGCUCCAUCAUCCGGUGUAACUCUCAAAUCCUUAGUCCAGCAAACAUCGCCACCGCCGGCUCAGAUCAGCCGGUUCGUCCCAGCUCGACUCGUCGUCCAAUGCGGGUACCGGUUUGAUUCAGCCAACACAAACGCUAGUACUGUCAAUACAAACGGUAUUCCGGCGAGCAACAAUUUCGCCGGCCAUGUCGGAGCGUCAAGAGCUGACUGGCAGAGCUCUUGUGCUAUUCUGGCGAGCAAGGUUGUUUCGCAGCAGCAGGAUACUGAGAAAACAGGUGGAGCUGGUGAGAUAACUGUAGUAAACGGACACAAAUCUCUGGAUCUCGUUCCUCUUGAUAACAAUCUCCCAAAGCCGCUCACAAUUACUGAUCUCUCUCCUGCGCCCAUGCACGGCUCGCAGCUUCGCGUAGCCUAUCAAGGAGUACCCGGCGCGUAUAGUGAAGCUGCUGCUGGAAAGGCUUAUCCUAAAUGUGAAGCCAUACCUUGCGAUCAAUUUGAAGUUGCAUUUCAAGCAGUGGAACUCUGGAUUGCAGAUCGUGCAGUACUCCCUGUAGAAAAUUCUCUUGGAGGUUCAAUUCACCGCAAUUAUGAUCUCCUCCUCCGUCACCGUCUCCACAUAGUCGGCGAAGUCCAACUUCCCGUUCAUCACUGCCUCUUAGCUCUUCCAGGUGUUCGUAAAGAGUACCUGACCAGAGUCAUCAGCCAUCCACAAGCCUUAGCCCAGUGCGAGCUCACUCUCACAAAACUCGGCCUGAACGUAGUGCGUGAAGCUGUCGACGACACUGCCGGAGCUGCGGAGUACAUCGCCGCCAACAACCUCCGCGACACAGCCGCCAUCGCGUCGGCACGGGCCGCAGAACUAUACGGUCUACAGAUCCUGUCCGAAGGAAUCCAGGAUGAUUCAAGCAACGUGACUCGAUUCGUGAUGCUCGCCAGAGAACCAAUAAUUCCCCGAACCGAUCGUCCAUUCAAAACGAGCAUCGUUUUCGCACACGACAAAGGAACGAGCGUGCUGUUCAAGGUGCUAUCAGCUUUUGCUUUUAGGAAUAUCAGCUUGACGAAGAUCGAGUCUCGGCCCCAUCGUAACCGGCCGAUUCGAUUGGUGGAUGAUGCAAAUGUGGGAACAGCAAAGCAUUUUGAAUACAUGUUCUAUGUAGAUUUUGAAGCGUCAAUGGCGGACGUGAGGGCACAGAAUGCGUUGGCUGAAGUUCAGGAGUUCACAUCUUUCUUGAGGGUAUUGGGUAGCUAUCCUAUGGACAUGACCCCAUGGUGUCCAUCUAGGGAAGAGUAAACAAUUCUUUUUCAUGAAAUAAUUAUUUUCUUUAAUUUGUAAUUAUAUUUUCCGAAUUAGGUAAAAUACAAGCAAUUGAAGUUCAAUUCCAU
This 1457-nucleotide unclassified non-coding RNA is filed under the name Hevea brasiliensis (rubber tree). Lineage: Eukaryota; Viridiplantae; Streptophyta; Magnoliopsida; Malpighiales; Euphorbiaceae. The record is from RNAcentral.